UUAGCCCACGGUGACCUCUCGUUUACACCGAGAAUGUCGGGGGUUCGAGUCCCUCAGCGCCCA
This 63-nucleotide transfer RNA is filed under the name Pseudanabaena sp. SU_2_4. Its description in RNAcentral is "tRNA-Val". The record is from RNAcentral. Lineage: Bacteria; Bacillati; Cyanobacteriota; Cyanophyceae; Pseudanabaenales; Pseudanabaenaceae.